AUACGUAUGUCGCAAGCGUUAUCCGGAUUUAUUGGGCGUAAAGCGCGUCUAGGCGGCUUAGUAAGUCUGAUGUGAAAAUGCGGGGCUCAACCCCGUAUUGCGUUGGAAACUGCUAAACUAGAGUACUGGAGAGGUAGGCGGGACUACAAGAGUAGAGGGGAAAUUCGUAGAUAUUUGUAGGAAUGCAGAUGGGGAAGCCAGCCUACUGGACAGAUACUGACGCUAAAGCGCGAAAGCUUGGGUAGCAAACAGGAUUAGAUACCCUGGUAGUCCACGCCGUAAACGAUGAUUACUAGGUGUUGGGGGUCGAACCUCAGCGCCCAAGCUAACGCGAUAAGUAAUCCGCCUGGGGAGUACGUACGCAAGUAUGAAACUCAAAUGAAUUGACGGGG
RNAcentral lists this ribosomal RNA (392 nucleotides) under uncultured bacterium. RNAcentral's name for it is "partial 16S ribosomal RNA". It matches the Rfam family "Bacterial small subunit ribosomal RNA", at positions 523 to 918 of the family's 1533-position model. The record is from RNAcentral.